Molecule: ribosomal RNA, 459 nt
Filed under: uncultured bacterium
Lineage: Bacteria
Description: partial 16S ribosomal RNA
Rfam family: Bacterial small subunit ribosomal RNA
Source: RNAcentral
CCUACGGGUGGCAGCAGUGAGGAAUAUUGGUCAAUGGGCGGGAGCCUGAACCAGCCAAGCCGCGUGAGGGAAGAAGGUACUGUGUAUUGUAAACCUCUUUUGUCAGGGAACAAAGGCCGGGACUUGUCCCCGGUUGAGGGUACCUGAAGAAAAAGCAUCGGCUAACUCCGUGCCAGCAGCCGCGGUAAUACGGAGGAUGCGAGCGUUAUCCGGAUUUAUUGGGUUUAAAGGGUGCGCAGGCGGACUGUUAAGUCAGCGGUAAAAGUGCGGGGCUCAACCCCGGCGAGCCGUUGAAACUGGCGGGCUGGAGUGGGAGAGAAGUAGGCGGAAUGCGUGGUGUAGCGGUGAAAUGCUUAGAUAUCGCGCAGAACCCCGAUUGCGAAGGCAGCGUACCGGCGCCAAACUGACGCUGAGGCACGAAAGCGUGGGUAUCGAACAGGAUUAGAUACCCUAGUAGUC